GAUGAACGCUGGCGGCGUGCUUAACACAUGCAAGUCGAACGAUGAAGCCCAGCUUGCUGGGUGGAUUAGUGGCGAACGGGUGAGUAACACGUGAGUAACCUGCCCUUAACUCUGGGAUAAGCCUGGUAAACUGGGUCUAAUACCGGAUAGGAGCUUCCACCGCAUGGUGGGUGUUGGACAGCUUUAUCGGUUUUGGAUGGACUCGCGGCCUAUCAGCUUGUUGGUGAGGUAAUGGCUCACCAAGGCGACGACGGGUAGCCGGCCUGAGAGGGUGACCGGCGACAAUGGGACUGAGACACGGACCAGACUCCUACGGGAGGCAGCAGUGGGGAAUAUUGCACAAUGGGCGCAAGCGUGAUGCAGAGAAGCAGCGUGAGGGAUGACGGCCUUCGGGUUGUAAACCUCUUUCAGUAGGGAAGAAGCGAAAGUGACGGUACCUGCAGAAGAAGCACCGGCUAACUACGUG
This 466-nucleotide ribosomal RNA is filed under the name uncultured bacterium. RNAcentral describes it as "partial 16S ribosomal RNA". It matches the Rfam family "Bacterial small subunit ribosomal RNA", at positions 28 to 507 of the family's 1533-position model. The record is from RNAcentral.